This 631-nucleotide ribosomal RNA is filed under the name uncultured bacterium. RNAcentral describes it as "bacterial SSU rRNA". It matches the Rfam family "Bacterial small subunit ribosomal RNA", at positions 895 to 1533 of the family's 1533-position model. The record is from RNAcentral.
UAAAACUCAAAUGAAUUGACGGGGGCCCGCACAAGCGGUGGAGCAUGUGGUUUAAUUCGAUGCAACGCGAAGAACCUUACCUGGUCUUGACAUCCACGGAAGUUUUCAGAGAUGAGAAUGUGCCUUCGGGAACCGUGAGACAGGUGCUGCAUGGCUGUCGUCAGCUCGUGUUGUGAAAUGUUGGGUUAAGUCCCGCAACGAGCGCAACCCUUAUCCUUUGUUGCCAGCGGUCCGGCCGGGAACUCAAAGGAGACUGCCAGUGAUAAACUGGAGGAAGGUGGGGAUGACGUCAAGUCAUCAUGGCCCUUACGACCAGGGCUACACACGUGCUACAAUGGCGCAUACAAAGAGAAGCGACCUCGCGAGAGCAAGCGGACCUCAUAAAGUGCGUCGUAGUCCGGAUUGGAGUCUGCAACUCGACUCCAUGAAGUCGGAAUCGCUAGUAAUCGUGGAUCAGAAUGCCACGGUGAAUACGUUCCCGGGCCUUGUACACACCGCCCGUCACACCAUGGGAGUGGGUUGCAAAAGAAGUAGGUAGCUUAACCUUCGGGAGGGCGCUUACCACUUUGUGAUUCAUGACUGGGGUGAAGUCGUAACAAGGUAAAUCUCUGGAAGAUCCGCGGCGUACCGA